Molecule: ribosomal RNA, 407 nt
Filed under: uncultured bacterium
Lineage: Bacteria
Description: partial 16S ribosomal RNA
Rfam family: Bacterial small subunit ribosomal RNA
Source: RNAcentral
AUUGAACGCUGGCGGCAUGCCUAACACAUGCAAGUCGAGCGGAGCACCUGACGGGUGAGUAAUGCCUAGUAAUCUGCUUGGUAGUGGGGGAUAACGUCCUGAAACGGGCGCUCAUACCGCAUACUAUCAUAUCAGCCUAGGUCGGAUUAGCUAGUUGGUAGGGUAAAGGCAUACCAAGGCGACGAUCCGUAACUGAGCUGAGAGGAUGAUCAUUCACACUGGAACUGAGACACGGUCCAGACUCCUACGGGAGGCAGCAGUGGGGAAUAUUGGACAAUGGGCGAAAGCCUGAUCCAGCAAUGCCGCGUGUGUGAAGAAGGUCUUCGGAUUGUAAAGCACUUUUAGUUGGGAGGCGUUAACAACAGAAUAAGCACCGGCUAACUACGUGCCAGCAGCCGCGGUAAUUC